RNAcentral lists this non-coding RNA (627 nucleotides) under Pan troglodytes (chimpanzee). Lineage: Eukaryota; Metazoa; Chordata; Mammalia; Primates; Hominidae. The record is from RNAcentral.
CGGCAUUGAGGCUGCCUUGCCUCCAUUUGUCCGAACUGUCCCUGUCCCCUUGUGCCACCUGUGCAGACUUGAGAAUGGAGCUCACUGUGGUGUUCAUGCCAGGGCCUGUCUAGCUCCUCACCCCACGAUUUGACCAGUGCCACACCACGGGACCUCGUGUGACCUCGGGCCUGCGUCCUCUGGAAAACAGCCGUGGAGUGGUGUGAUGAGGACAGGUGCCUUGGAAAGCAUCAGGACCUUGUGAGCACGAGGCAGCUGCCAGCACUCCACAUUCCCGCCAUGCUCUCCUCACCGUGUGGGCAUCCAGCUGGCCAGCGCCGCCUCCAUGGUGCCCCUCCCUCUGGUCGCUCCUGCGCAGCAUGCGAAGGUGUUUAUCUGCCCGCGUCCUGCCUUUUCCCCACACUGGCACGGAGGAGCCACGUGUUCGGUGGUCGUUCGGACAUGGUGAUUUGCAGGGUCUCACUUCGUUGCCUAGGCUGGAGUGCAGUGGCACAAUCUCAGCUCACUGCAGCCUCGACCUCCCAAGCUCAGUAGAGACGGGGAUUCGCCGUGUUGCCCAGGCUGGUCUUGAACUCCUGGAGUCAAGCGAUCUGUCCACCUUGGCCUCCUAAAGUGAUGGGAUUACAG